ACUCGUUAACUUCAACAUUCCCAAUUUAACACUAUUGUGAGUACUCUCACACACCAAACUCAAGUCUCUAAACUGCUCAAUUAAAUCCCAUUCCUUAACCAUUAACAUAGACAUAUGCAAUGAUUUCCGACUCAAUGCAUCAGCCACUACGUUUGCUUUACCCGGAUGGUAAUUCAAACCAAAGUCAUAAUCCUUCAGAAA
This 201-nucleotide long non-coding RNA is filed under the name Lathyrus oleraceus (garden pea). RNAcentral describes it as "Pisum sativum (pea) long non-coding RNA (PSAT_LNC007220)". Lineage: Eukaryota; Viridiplantae; Streptophyta; Magnoliopsida; Fabales; Fabaceae. The record is from RNAcentral.